Molecule: ribosomal RNA, 201 nt
Filed under: uncultured bacterium
Lineage: Bacteria
Description: partial 16S ribosomal RNA
Rfam family: Bacterial small subunit ribosomal RNA
Source: RNAcentral
UACUCGCAAGAGAGGACUCUGUGUGGACUGCUCCGGAUAACGGAGAGGAAGGKGGGGAUGACGUCMAGUCCGCAYGGCCUUUAUGUCCMGGGCUACACACGUGUUACAAUGCARGGCACAAACCGUUGCCAACCCGCGAGGGGGARCUAAUCRGAAAAAACUCUGCUCAGUUCSGAUUGCAGUCUGCAACUCGACUGCAUG